Long non-coding RNA from Heterocephalus glaber (naked mole-rat), 937 nucleotides. NCBI's taxonomy places the organism in Eukaryota, Metazoa, Chordata, Mammalia, Rodentia, Bathyergidae. The record is from Ensembl.
UCUCAACCCCACCAGACAGGAAGCCACACAGUCACUUCUGGAGGGGAAUAGUCCUGUGAGCUGGGGAUGGAGGGCUGGGAGAGAUGGUGCAGACUGGGACCGGCCACUCCUUGGACGCCUGUGGUGGAGGGUCCUGUCCUUUACCAUGGCCACCAUACCUCUGGGUGUGGACAGCAUCUGCUGAUGGAGGAAUUCCCAGCAAUGUCCCUCUGUGAUGCAUGCGGUGACUUUCCAGGCACCUUCAGACCAGAGCCAGUGGUAGCACUGGCAUCUCAGUCUCCUCCUGUGGGGGCUGGCUCGGCCUGCAGGAUGGCUGGGACACCCUGGACAGCCAGCUCGGGCAUUGUCCUUGCAGAUCCGGGAUGUUCCAGGAACAGCGGUAUAAAUCCUGUUGAGAACUGGCCAGGAGAGACCAGGAUCGGACAUCGGUGGUAUUUGGCCCCUCUGGACACCGGUCUGCAGAAGGAGAGAGGCCACCCUGACGGUAUUCCAGGGCUAGGCCACCCUGACGGUAUUCUGGGGCUCUGGGUAGACUGGUCCCGGUCGGGCCUUAUCGCCAAUCAGCCGACCCGAAGGAGUUUAUCGGGAAAGCCUCUAGAGGGCACUGCCUACCCCUCAAGGCGUGGAUCAGGUCCUGCCACCUCUGCAAGGCCUCCUUGACAGUCCUCUGCCCUGCAUGAGCCUCUGUCACGUGCUGGGAGCUGCACUGCUGCCCCCUUUCCUCCGGUGGGCCUCGUCUGUCUCUGCAGUGAGAGGUAAGUGGGGUGUGUGUGGGAGUCACAUGGUGAUGUUUAGUAAACACCAACAGGACUGGAUCCUGUGGAUUUGGGCUUCAGGUUGCAUGGCAAGGGCCUGAGCUUUCGCAUCUCACAGGCCUGAGUUUGAUCCCAGCUGUGCCACUAGUUACUUCUUAGUGUGGACAAGUUCUAAGACCCGU